CCAAAGGCUCUUUUCAGAGCCACCUACAAAGUCAGAAAAAGAGCCU
Manacus vitellinus (golden-collared manakin) is the source of this 46-nucleotide non-coding RNA. NCBI's taxonomy places the organism in Eukaryota, Metazoa, Chordata, Aves, Passeriformes, Pipridae. The record is from Rfam.